GAAGUGUGGACGCCAGUCUGCAUGGAGCCGACCUUGAAAUACCACCCUUUAAUGUUUGAUGUUCUAACGUUGACCCGUGAUCCGGGUUGCGGACAGUGUCUGGUGGGUAGUUUGACUGGGGCGGUCUCCUCCUAAAGAGUAACGGAGGAGCACGAAGGUUGGCUAAUCCUGGUCGGACAUCAGGAGGUUAGUGCAAUGGCAUAAGCCAGCUUGACUGCGAGCGUGACGGCGCGAGCAGGUGCGAAAGCAGGUCAUAGUGAUCCGGUGGUUCUGAAUGGAAGGGCCAUCGCUCAACGGAUAAAAGGUACUCCGGGGAUAACAGGCUGAUACCGCCCAAGAGUUCAUAUCGACGGCGGUGUUUGGCACCUCGAUGUCGGCUCAUCACAUCCUGGGGCUGAAGUAGGUCCCAAGGGUAUGGCUGUUCGCCAUUUAAAGUGGUACGCGAGCUGGGUUUAGAACGUCGUGAGACAGUUCGGUCCCUAUCUGCCGUGGGCGCUGGAGAACUGAGGGGGGCUGCUCCUAGUACGAGAGGACCGGAGUGGACGCAUCACUGGUGUUCGGGUUGUCAUGCCAAUGGCACUGCCCGGUAGCUAAAUGCGGAAGAGAUAAGUGCUGAAAGCAUCUAAGCACGAAACUUGCCCCGAGAUGAGUUCUCCCUGACUCCUUGAGAGUCCUGAAGGAACGUUGAAGACGACGACGUUGAUAGGCCGGGUGUGUAAGCGCAGCGAUGCGUUGAGCUAACCGGUACUAAUGAACCGUGAGG
RNAcentral lists this ribosomal RNA (763 nucleotides) under Escherichia coli. RNAcentral describes it as "partial 23S ribosomal RNA". It matches the Rfam family "Bacterial large subunit ribosomal RNA", at positions 2159 to 2916 of the family's 2925-position model. Lineage: Bacteria; Pseudomonadati; Pseudomonadota; Gammaproteobacteria; Enterobacterales; Enterobacteriaceae. The record is from RNAcentral.